GGACUACCAGGGUAUCUAAUCCUGUUUGCUCCCCACGCUUUCGUGCCUCAGCGUCAGAAAUGGGCUAAGAAGCUGCCUUCGCCAUCGGUGUUCCUCUCGAGAUCUACGCAUUUUACCGCUACUCCGAGAAUUCUACUUCUCUCUUCCAUCCUCUAGUCUGCCAGUUUCUACCGCAUACUCCCAGUUAAGCUGAGAAAUUUAACAGUUGACUUAAUAGACCGCCUACGCACCCUUUACGCCCAAUCAUUCCGAAUAACGUUCGCACCCCUCGUCUUACCGCGGCUGCUGGCAC
RNAcentral lists this ribosomal RNA (292 nucleotides) under uncultured bacterium. RNAcentral's name for it is "partial 16S ribosomal RNA". The record is from RNAcentral.